GUGUCAGCAGCCGCGGUAAUACGAAGGGGGCUAGCGUUGUUCGGAAUUACUGGGCGUAAAGGGCGCGUAGGCGGCUGCCCAAGUCAGAUGUGAAAGCCCCGGGCUUAACCUGGGAAUUGCAUUUGAUACUGGGCAGCUUGAGUUUCGGAGAGGUGGGUGGAAUUCCCAGUGUAGAGGUGAAAUUCGUAGAUAUUGGGAAGAACACCGGUGGCGAAGGCGGCCCACUGGACGAAUACUGACGCUGAGGCGCGAAAGCGUGGGGAGCAAACAGGAUUAGAUACCCUGGUAGUCCACGCUGUAAACGAUGAGUGCUAGACGUUGGGGUCCUUAGGAUUUCAGUGUCGCAGCUAACGCAUUAAGCACUCCGCCUGGGGAGUACGGCCGCAAGGUUAAA
Molecule: ribosomal RNA, 394 nt
Filed under: uncultured bacterium
Lineage: Bacteria
Description: bacterial SSU rRNA
Rfam family: Bacterial small subunit ribosomal RNA
Source: RNAcentral